This 540-nucleotide ribosomal RNA is filed under the name uncultured bacterium. RNAcentral's name for it is "bacterial SSU rRNA". It matches the Rfam family "Bacterial small subunit ribosomal RNA", at positions 359 to 895 of the family's 1533-position model. The record is from RNAcentral.
UGGGGACAAUGGGCGCAAGCCUGAUCCAGCCAUGCCGCGUGUCUGAAGAAGGCCUUCGGGUUGUAAAGGACUUUUGUCAGGGAAGAAAAGGCUGUUGCUAAUAUCGACAGCUGAUGACGGUACCUGAAGAAUAAGCACCGGCUAACUACGUGCCAGCAGCCGCGGUAAUACGUAGGGUGCGAGCGUUAAUCGGAAUUACUGGGCGUAAAGCGAGCGCAGACGGUUACUUAAGCAGGAUGUGAAAUCCCCGGGCUCAACCUGGGAACUGCGUUCUGAACUGGGUGACUAGAGUGUGUCAGAGGGAGGUAGAAUUCCACGUGUAGCAGUGAAAUGCGUAGAGAUGUGGAGGAAUACCGAUGGCGAAGGCAGCCUCCUGGGAUAACACUGACGUUCAUGCUCGAAAGCGUGGGUAGCAAACAGGAUUAGAUACCCUGGUAGUCCACGCCCUAAACGAUGUCAAUUAGCUGUUGGGCAACUUGAUUGCUUAGUAGCGUAGCUAACGCGUGAAAUUGGCCGCCUGGGGAGUACGGUCGCAAGAUU